CGGAGAGUGCAAACGUUGUUCGGAUUCACUGGGCGUAAAGGGCACGUAGGCGGCUCGGCAAAUCGGUCGUGGAAUCUCGACGCUUACCGUCGAAACGGCGGCCGAAAAUACCGGGCUCGAGGGCGUGAGGGGUCACUGGAACUCCUGGUGAAGCGGUGAAAUGCGUAGAUAUCAGGAGGAACGCCGGAGGCGAAAGCGAGUGACUGGCGCGUUCCUGACGCUGAGGUGCGAAAGCUAGGGGAGCAAACAGGAUUAGAUACCCUGGUAGUCCUAGCCGUAAACGAUGGACACUGAGUGGAGGAGGGCUUGCCUUUCUCUGCUGCAGCUAACGCGUUAAGUGUCCCGCCUGGGGAGUACGGCCGCAAGGUUA
This 370-nucleotide ribosomal RNA is filed under the name uncultured organism. RNAcentral describes it as "bacterial SSU rRNA". It matches the Rfam family "Bacterial small subunit ribosomal RNA", at positions 526 to 896 of the family's 1533-position model. The record is from RNAcentral.